UAAUUGUUUGUCUUCCUUCCUGC
This 23-nucleotide non-coding RNA is filed under the name Mus musculus (house mouse). Lineage: Eukaryota; Metazoa; Chordata; Mammalia; Rodentia; Muridae. The record is from RNAcentral.